RNAcentral lists this transfer RNA (73 nucleotides) under Neotoma lepida (desert woodrat). It matches the Rfam family "tRNA". Rfam says of the family: Transfer RNA (tRNA) molecules are approximately 80 nucleotides in length. Their secondary structure includes four short double-helical elements and three loops (D, anti-codon, and T loops). The record is from Rfam by way of RNAcentral. Lineage: Eukaryota; Metazoa; Chordata; Mammalia; Rodentia; Cricetidae.
GGGAAUAUAGCUCAAUUGGUAGAGUGCUUGCCUAGAACACAUGAGGACUUGGGUUCAAUCCCCAGUACUGCAU